Molecule: RNA transcript, 1246 nt
Organism: Cynara cardunculus var. scolymus (artichoke)
Lineage: Eukaryota; Viridiplantae; Streptophyta; Magnoliopsida; Asterales; Asteraceae
Gene name: EPIDERMAL PATTERNING FACTOR-like protein 8
Exons: 3
Source: RefSeq, a predicted model, not a curated record
CUUAAAUAUAUUGUUGGCAUUCCACAAAUGACUUCAUCUUCUUCCUCUGAUUCUCUGUAAGAUUUCUAGGGUUAAAAGAAAAAGGGAAAAAGAACCAGAGCCACUGAUCCUCUGAUUUCAAGUGGUCCUUCCAAAUCCCUACCAACAUUAUCAAGUAUAUAAAAGCAAAUAAAGCAGUUCUGACGACUCUACCACAGAUAUAAUUCAAAUCUCGUGGCGAAAACCAGCAGGUGUACUUGAUUGAGUCUUCACCAUGGCUGGUGGACCCGAACACGUACCAUCUCUAAAACAUCACAAUUAUGUGUGCCUUCUUUCGUACAUGGAAGGUCAAGGUCUAAUCAAUGGAAGAAGACGUGUAUUGUUCAACAGAGACCCCACUUCAUAUAGUAAAGUGAAUUACGGGCCGUUAGUUUUUUUUUUCUUUUUUCUUUUUUCUAAAGGGGACUGUUCAAAAAGCAAAGUAGUAGCAGUGGAGAAAUGGAUGAGUGCCGUUGGAUUUUUGUUGGUCUCUGAAAGAUUUCUUCCAUUUACGUACGUGAACAGUGUACACAAAGUGACAAAAUGGUAAAUAUUCGGCAACGAGUUGGUGGUGAUGGUUUUUUAGCUUUUAAUAAUUGUUUUCAGCGUAUGAGUUUAAUUGGAGAAAUUCGAAGCAUCAGGAAGGAGAAAAGGUUAAAAACAAAACGACCAAAAGACAAGGACAAGAUUGUGCACAUCAACUGUUUGAUGAAAUCACUGUGCGAGUUUUCAAGUCUAUGAACCCAGAUCAGACAAAGUUAAUUUCGGUUAUCUGUACUUUAAUUACAGGCUAGUAUCCUGUAUCCGUUUUGGAGCCUCAUACAAUCCAUCCGAUAAUUGGAUUUCCCGAAUGCAACAACAGAAGAAAACAUUGGGAUCAAGGCCACCAGGGUGUGUAAACAAGUGCAUGAAUUGUACACCAUGCCGAGCCACUCUGGUUAUCCCUCCACACCAUCGGAUGACUGAUUACAGAGAUCAAUCUUCUCACCGUGAAGACGAUUGCUACUAUCUCCUUUCAUGGAAAUGCAAAUGCGGUGAUAAACUCUUUCAACCUUAAUCGUAAUUAGUUUCGUUUUUCACCCAUGCUUAGUGACGGAUUUCGGUGCUUGAUUAGAUAUAAACUUUCUUUGUGAAAGAUAGUGUAUAAAGUAUUCUAUACCACUUCAAAUGCUGGCUGUUGCUGCUAUUUUCACCCUCUUUGUGAUUAAUAUAAAUAUCUAUUUUGAGU